This 68-nucleotide transfer RNA is filed under the name Anoplotrupes stercorosus. RNAcentral's name for it is "tRNA-Trp". Lineage: Eukaryota; Metazoa; Arthropoda; Insecta; Coleoptera; Geotrupidae. The record is from RNAcentral.
AAGGAUUUAAGUUAAAAAAACUUGGAACCUUCAAAGUUCUCAUUAAAAGAAAUCUCUUUUAAGCCUUA